GACGAACGCUGGCGGCGUGCUUAACACAUGCAAGUCGAACGGAAAGGCCCUGCUUUUGUGGGGUGCUCGAGUGGCGAACGGGUGAGUAACACGUGAGUAACCUGCCCUUGACUUUGGGAUAACUUCAGGAAACUGGGGCUAAUACCGGAUAGGAGCUCCUGCUGCAUGGUGGGGGUUGGAAAGUUUCGGCGGUUGGGGAUGGACGCGCGGCUUAUCAGCUUGUUGGUGGGGUAGUGGCUUACCAAGGCUUUGACGGGUAGCCGGCCUGAGAGGGUGACCGGCCACCUUGGGACUGAGAUACGGCCCAGACUCCUACGGGAGGCAGCAGUCGGGAAUAUUGCACAAUGGGCGGAAGCCUGAUGCAGCAACGCCGCGUGCGGGAUGACGGCCUUCGGGUUGUAAACCGCUUUAGCCUGUGACGAAGCGUGAGUGACGGUAAUGGGUAAAGAAGCACCGGCUAACUACGUG
This 468-nucleotide ribosomal RNA is filed under the name uncultured bacterium. Its description in RNAcentral is "partial 16S ribosomal RNA". It matches the Rfam family "Bacterial small subunit ribosomal RNA", at positions 28 to 507 of the family's 1533-position model. The record is from RNAcentral.